RNAcentral lists this ribosomal RNA (468 nucleotides) under uncultured bacterium. RNAcentral describes it as "partial 16S ribosomal RNA". It matches the Rfam family "Bacterial small subunit ribosomal RNA", at positions 28 to 523 of the family's 1533-position model. The record is from RNAcentral.
GAUGAACGCUGGCGGCGUGCCUAACACAUGCAAGUCGAGCGAUUUACUUCGGUAAAGAGCGGCGGACGGGUAAGUAACGCGUGGGUAACCUGCCCUGUACACACGGAUAACAUACCGAAAGGUAUGCUAAUACGAGAUAAUAUGCUUUUAUCGCAUGGUAGAAGUAUCAAAGCUUUUGCGGUACAGGAUGGACCCGCGUCUGAUUAGCUAGUUGGUAAGGUAACGGCUUACCAAGGCGACGAUCAGUAGCCGACCUGAGAGGGUGAUCGGCCACAUUGGAACUGAGACACGGUCCAAACUCCUACGGGAGGCAGCAGUGGGGAAUAUUGCACAAUGGGCGAAAGCCUGAUGCAGCAACGCCGCGUGAGCGAUGAAGGCCUUCGGGUCGUAAAGCUCUGUCCCCAAGGAAGAUAAUGACGGUACUUGAGGAGGAAGCCCCGGCUAACUACGUGCCAGCAGCCGCCGCAG